UACCAUGGAUCCUUUGAUGGUUAUAAUGAAAAAGAAACCUACUCUGACAGUCCGUCAUCCUCUCCUGAAACCAUUGUCAAAAGCAAAAAGAGGCGGAAAAAUAAAUCUCCAGUUGAGGAUGCUCUGAAAAUAAUCAAGAAAGAGUCCCAACAUAACCUGGAACUACCUAAAAAACUUUUUUACAAGCACAAUAAUAGUGAUAAUCCUUUUCCUAAAAAACGAGGUCCACGUCCAAAGGUGCUCACAAAGGAGGAAAAGAAGAAGAAACGAGUGGAUGCAAAUGAUCGAGAGAGACAAAGAAUGAAUCAGUUGAAUACUGCAUUUAACAAUUUAAGGGACGUUCUACCUCGACAUGGGAAUGACAGAGAGCUCUCAAAGUUUGAAACCAUUCAAAUUGCUAAAAAUUAUAUUCAAACCCUUCACCAGCUUGUAACUUGAAGGUGAUGACGACAAGACUUGGAUCUUAAACUAUGUAUAUAUGGUGUACCGUGGUAAGACACCAUUUCUACUCCUCUAGUCAUUGUAAUCUUUUAAGUGGACAUGUAGUCUGUUGUACGUACGUUUCUGUGAUGAAUUUAAUUAACUUUGAUAAUCAUAUACUUGUGAAUAAUUGUGUAACAAUGGUUUAAAAAAUAAAAUACAUAUCAGUC
Molecule: long non-coding RNA, 650 nt
Filed under: Lepeophtheirus salmonis (salmon louse)
Lineage: Eukaryota; Metazoa; Arthropoda; Copepoda; Siphonostomatoida; Caligidae
Description: uncharacterized LOC121132254
Source: RNAcentral